This 72-nucleotide transfer RNA is filed under the name Diaphorina citri (Asian citrus psyllid). It matches the Rfam family "tRNA". Rfam says of the family: Transfer RNA (tRNA) molecules are approximately 80 nucleotides in length. Their secondary structure includes four short double-helical elements and three loops (D, anti-codon, and T loops). Lineage: Eukaryota; Metazoa; Arthropoda; Insecta; Hemiptera; Psyllidae. The record is from Rfam by way of RNAcentral.
GCCUGGUUAGCUUGGAAGGUAACCGACUGCCUCGUAAGUGGUAGGUCGCGGAUUCGAUUCCCGCACGGGGCG